GAAAUGCGAUAAGUAGUGUGAAUUGCAGAAUUCAGUGAAUCAUCGAAUCUUUGAACGCACAUUGCGCCCCUUGGUAUUCCAUGGGGCAUGCCUGUUCGAGCGUCAUUUCAACCAUCAAGCCCCCGGGCUUGUGUUGGGGACCUGCGGCUGCCCGCAGGCCCUGAAAACCAGUGGCGGGCUCGCUGUCACACCGAGCGUAGUAGCAAUCACCUCGCUCAGGGCGUGCUGCGGGUUCCGGCCGUUAAACAGCCUUACAAAACCCAAGGUUGACCUCGGAUCAGGUAGGAAGACCCGCUGAACUUAAGC
RNAcentral lists this unclassified non-coding RNA (306 nucleotides) under plant metagenome. Its description in RNAcentral is "partial contains 5.8S ribosomal RNA, internal transcribed spacer 2, and large subunit ribosomal RNA". The stretch from base 1 to 105 matches the Rfam family "5.8S ribosomal RNA", at positions 50 to 154 of the family's 154-position model. The record is from RNAcentral.